This 411-nucleotide ribosomal RNA is filed under the name Pseudomonas vranovensis. RNAcentral's name for it is "bacterial SSU rRNA". It matches the Rfam family "Bacterial small subunit ribosomal RNA", at positions 386 to 789 of the family's 1533-position model. Lineage: Bacteria; Pseudomonadati; Pseudomonadota; Gammaproteobacteria; Pseudomonadales; Pseudomonadaceae. The record is from RNAcentral.
AUCCAGCCAUGCCGCGUGUGUGAAGAAGGUCUUCGGAUUGUAAAGCACUUUAAGUUGGGAGGAAGGGCAUUAACCUAAUACGUUAGUGUUUUGACGUUACCGACAGAAUAAGCACCGGCUAACUCUGUGCCAGCAGCCGCGGUAAUACAGAGGGUGCAAGCGUUAAUCGGAAUUACUGGGCGUAAAGCGCGCGUAGGUGGUUCGUUAAGUUGGAUGUGAAAUCCCCGGGCUCAACCUGGGAACUGCAUCCAAAACUGGCGAGCUAGAGUAGGGCAGAGGGUGGUGGAAUUUCCUGUGUAGCGGUGAAAUGCGUAGAUAUAGGAAGGAACACCAGUGGCGAAGGCGACCACCUGGGCUCAUACUGACACUGAGGUGCGAAAGCGUGGGGAGCAAACAGGAUUAGAUACCCUG